RNAcentral lists this long non-coding RNA (373 nucleotides) under Vigna radiata. RNAcentral's name for it is "long non-coding RNA (VRAD_LNC008850)". Lineage: Eukaryota; Viridiplantae; Streptophyta; Magnoliopsida; Fabales; Fabaceae. The record is from RNAcentral.
UUAGAAUUAGGCUAGAUUUAGGUUUUUCCUUGAAUUCAUUAGUUUUGUUUAAUUUUAGUUAAAAUUAGGUUUUUAGAUAUUUUUUUUGUCUUUGUUAAUAAAUAGGAAAUUAAUAUUUUUUUUUAGAAAAUCUCGUAAUAAAAAUCUUUUCCUUUAUUUUUAAUUGUUGAAAUGCCUUGCUUUUAAUUGCUGAUGGGUUCUGAGUUAAACUGCAGGAAAGUUUUUGGUCAUCUGGGCUUACUUGAUUGAAUGGUUUUGGAUGGAAAUUGGGACGCUGGAAGUCAAAUUGGGUCCUUGCAUUGAAUUUAGCUGCAGAUUGGAAGCUUUGUGCUGUAGGGAAUUAAUUGGGCUGAUUUGAAGACUUGGUCCGUGG